AAAAAAAUCUUUCCCUCUCUUACAG
This 25-nucleotide non-coding RNA is filed under the name Cricetulus griseus (Chinese hamster). The record is from RNAcentral. Lineage: Eukaryota; Metazoa; Chordata; Mammalia; Rodentia; Cricetidae.